RNAcentral lists this non-coding RNA (33 nucleotides) under Trypanosoma brucei brucei. The record is from RNAcentral. Lineage: Eukaryota; Euglenozoa; Kinetoplastea; Trypanosomatida; Trypanosomatidae.
ACUAAAUCGAUGAGACAGUGAGAAGAGUGGUGA